CUGUGUGGAUUGUAGACUCAGGAGCAACAGUGUAAGGUACCGGACUUCUAAAACUAUGAAGUUAUGGUGUACAUUUAAAUGGUUCCGGUGAGGUUGCGGUGGAAUGUGACAUACCAGAUUUUAAAUAUAAAAGUGAAAAUAAAUAAAAAUAGUAUGAGAUACUAUUUUUAUUGGAUUUAGAGAAGUGAAAUAUAAGUUGGGAAUGACCUGUGCUAAAAUCGGAGCGAAAAUAGAAGAUUUAGAAUUUUCUGUAAGAAACGGGGCAGAUAAAUUAGCAGAAAAUGCACAGUGUCAGAAAAUUAUGAAAAUUGGCGGAGAUGUCAGAAAGAAAUAUUUUUAUGAGGCUAGAUUUAAAGUUUCAUGCCAUUCUGACACCCGAAAAGUAAAAAAUAGAAUCCGAAAGCUAUUUGAUAAAGAUUACAGUUCGGUACAGUUUCGGUGACCAAACGGGGUCGAAACUGAAAUAUUAAAAUUUAUUUGGACUUAUUAAGUAAAACCGAGCCUGCUUGUCAAAUUUGAGCUCAAACGGACAUUCAGAAGGGCUCCGGCGAAAAAUAUCAGUUUCUAA
RNAcentral lists this long non-coding RNA (568 nucleotides) under Ananas comosus (pineapple). RNAcentral describes it as "long non-coding RNA (ACOM_LNC029077)". The record is from RNAcentral. Lineage: Eukaryota; Viridiplantae; Streptophyta; Magnoliopsida; Poales; Bromeliaceae.